Molecule: microRNA precursor, 203 nt
Filed under: Oryza nivara
Lineage: Eukaryota; Viridiplantae; Streptophyta; Magnoliopsida; Poales; Poaceae
Description: MIR812 microRNA precursor family
Rfam family: MIR812 microRNA precursor family
Source: Rfam by way of RNAcentral
AAAGACUAUAGUUUUGCACUAUUUAUAUCUAACAUUUGAUCAUUCGUCUUAUCUAAAAAAACGUGAUUAGUAUUUUUAUUGUUAUUAGAUGGUAAAACAUAAAUAAUAUUUUAUGUGUGACUAUUUUUUUAAUUUUUUUCAUGAAUUUUCGAAAUAAGACGGACGGUUAAAUAUUGGAUACGGAACAUACAACUACACUUAAA